GGGUCAUCUGGCUGUGACAUCUGUUACCCCAUUGAUUGCCAGGAUUGAUUGGGCUGAUGCAGCUGCCUAACUGUCUUUAUCCUUCCUAUCCACUGAAGCAGCACGCUGGUGGAGAGCGAUCUUCCUAGAUACUGGAGCAUCUUUCUUAGGUCAGAUAUAUGCAGGUGGCUAUGCCCUGCUGCUAGAACCUCCAAACAAGCUCUCAAGGCCCAUUUGUAGGAGAACAGACAGCACUCAAGCUAUGAAGACUUUAAAUACAUGCAAUUGAGGCUCUACAAGCGGCUGUCUGCCUUUCUU
This 297-nucleotide small nuclear RNA is filed under the name Capra hircus (goat). RNAcentral describes it as "7SK RNA (ENSCHIG00000004604.1)". It matches the Rfam family "7SK RNA". From Rfam's summary of the family: 7SK was discovered as an abundant small nuclear RNA in the mid-70s but a possible function has only recently been suggested. Two independent studies have found that 7SK RNA binds the CDK9/cyclin T complex (known as elongation factor P-TEFb). P-TEFb activates transcription by phosphorylating the C-terminal domain of RNA polymerase II. Lineage: Eukaryota; Metazoa; Chordata; Mammalia; Artiodactyla; Bovidae. The record is from Rfam by way of RNAcentral.